CUCUUCUCCCUGCUCGGCCUCUAUUACAUCAACAAGAUUUCCAGCGCUCUCUAUCAAUCCAACGCGCCCGCGGCCGCCCCGGCCAAAGCUGUGGGGAAAGGGAGGAAGAGGAACUGAUGGGGGCGAUGGAGCUGAUGGAGCCGAUGAUGGUGAUGGAGCCGAUGAUGGAGCCGUUGCCCCAUUGGGGCCUACACAGCCACUCAGUAAAGUUGGGCCUUUGUAGCUCGGCCUCAGCUCUGCUUCCUCUGCUGACCCCCAUGGUCCUCCAGCCACUCUACCCCAUGGUCCUCCAGUCUCUAUCCCCCAUGGUCCUCCAGACACUCUACCCCACAGUCCUUUAGUCUCUAUCCCCCACAGUCCUCCAGCUGCCCUGCCCCAAGGUCCUCCAGCCACUCUGCCCCACAGUCCUCCACUCUCUCUAUCCCUCGGUCCUCCAGCCUCUUGCCCCCAUAGUCCACUCUACCCCAUGGUCCCCCAGACUUUAUCCCCCAUAGUCUUCCAUUCUGCCCCACAGUCCUCCAGCUUCUGCCCCAGUCCUCCAGCCACUCUGCCCCACGGUCAUCCAGUCUCUAUCCCCCACAGUCCUCCAGCUGCCCUGCUCCAAGGUCCUCCAGCCACUCUACCCCAUGGUCCUCCAGUCUCUAUCCCCCACAGUCCUCCAGCCAUUCUGUCCCAUGGUCUUCCAGCCACUCUACCCCACAGUCCUCCACACUCUAUCCCCCAUAGACUUCCAUUCUGCCCCACAGUCCUCCAGCCGCUCUACCCCAUGGUCCUCCAUUCUCUGUGCCCCAUGGUCCUCCAGCCAAUGCUCCACAGUCUUCCAGCCUCUCUACCCCACAGUCCUCCACACUCCACCCCAUAGUCUUCCACUCUACCCCACAGUCCUCCAGUCUCUAUCCCCCACAGUCCUCCAGCUGCCCUGCCCCAAGGUCCUCCAGCCACUCUACCCCAUGGUCCUCCACUCUCUGUGCCCCAUAGUCCUCCACACUGCCCCACAGUCCUCCAGCCACUCUAUCCCAUAGUCCUCCAGCCACUCUAUGCUCCAUAGUCUUCCAUUCUCCUCCAGCCUCUCUCCCCCAUAGUCCACUCUGCCCCACAGUCCUCCACUCUCUCUGCCCCAUGGUCCUCAAGGUGCUCUAUCCCAUGGUCCUCCAGUCUCUAUCCCCCACAGUCCUCCAGCUGCCCUACCCCAUAGUCCUCCAGCCACUCUAUGCCCCAUAGUCUUCCACUCUGCCCCACAGUCCUCCAGCUUCUGCCCCAGUCCUCCAGCCACUCUACCCCACAGUCCUCCACACUCUGUCCCCCACAGACCUCCAGCCACUCUACCCCAUGGUCCUCCACUCUCUGUGCCCCACAGUCCUCCAGCUGCCCUGCCCUAAGGUCCUCCAGCCACUGUACCCCAUGGUCCUCCAGUCUCUAUCCCCCAAGGUCCUCCAGCCACUCUAUGCCCCAUAGUCUUCCAUUCUGCCCCCAAGGUCCUCCAGCCUCUCACCCCCAUAGUCCACUCUACCCCACAGUCCUCCACUCUCUAUCCCCUAUGGUCCUCCAGCCACUCUACCCCACAGUCCUUUAGUCUCUAUCCCCCACUGUCCUCCAGCUGCCCUGUCCCAAGUCCUCCAGCCUCUGCCCCAUAGUCCUCCAGCCACUCUAUACCCCACAGCCCCCCCCUCUCUGCCCCACAGCCGUCCUGCCCCACACCCACAGCUCCACACAUUAUUAUUAUGGCCAAACACUCGUCCUCAUUGCUCCUCACCCCAUUGCCCUCAGCCCAUCAAUCCAGCCCAUCCAGCUCCUGCCAUCCCUCCCAUCCCUUGGGCAGCUCCAAACCACCCCAAACCUCAACACACCCAACACGGAGCCCAGCACCAUCACGGGCCGCCAAUGGGGCCGAGCUGCAUUGAGUGCUGCCCAUAGGGCACGGCGUGUCCCAUCCAGCCCCAUUGGAAAGCAUGGGAUCCAAUGGGAUCCAAUAGAGCAGGCCUUGCUGCAGUCCAGGCAGCCAUAGGAAGGCACAUUCAUUAAUUCCCCAUGGACUAAUUAACGCGUUAAUUAAUCCCCCAUGGACUAAUGAAGGUGGAUUGACGCCCCCUGAGCCGCACACAGUGCUGCCCUUUAAUGA
Molecule: non-coding RNA, 2119 nt
Organism: Coturnix japonica (Japanese quail)
Lineage: Eukaryota; Metazoa; Chordata; Aves; Galliformes; Phasianidae
Source: RefSeq, a predicted model, not a curated record